This 418-nucleotide ribosomal RNA is filed under the name uncultured bacterium. RNAcentral's name for it is "bacterial SSU rRNA". It matches the Rfam family "Bacterial small subunit ribosomal RNA", at positions 355 to 786 of the family's 1533-position model. The record is from RNAcentral.
UGGGGAAUAUUGGGCAAUGGGCGAAAGCCUUACCCAGCAACGCCGCGUGAGGGAAGAAGGUUUUCGGAUUGUAAACCUCUGUCCUGGGGGACGAAGGAAGUGACGGUACCCCGGGAGGAAGCCCCGGCUAACUACGUGCCAGCAGCCGCGGUAAUACGUAGGGGGCGAGCGUUGUCCGGAAUUAUUGGGCGUAAAGGGCGCGUAGACGGCCGAGUAAGUUAUAGGUGAAAGCCCAUCUUUCAAAGGAUGGAAUUGCCUGUAAUACUGCCUGGCUUGAGUGCAGGAGAGGGAAGCGGAAUUCCUAGUGUAGCGGUGAAAUGCGUAGAUAUUAGGAGGAACACCAGUGGCGAAGGCGGCUUUCUGGACUGUAACUGACGUUGAGGCGCGAAAGCGUGGGGAGCAAACAGGAUUAGAUACC